The submitters of this non-coding RNA (74 nucleotides) gave its source as unclassified sequences. The record is from Rfam.
AUCAAGAGUAGAAGCGUUCAGCACGGUGCUCUGGCCCUUGUCGGUCAGCAGCUUCGCGGGUCGUUGCUCUUGAA